GGGCAAUUAGCUCAGCUGGCUAGAGCGCCACAUUGACAUUGUGGAGGUCACUGGUUCAAGUCCAGUAUUGCCCACCA
This 77-nucleotide transfer RNA is filed under the name Candidatus Peribacteria bacterium RIFCSPHIGHO2_02_FULL_53_20. Its description in RNAcentral is "tRNA-Val". It matches the Rfam family "tRNA". From Rfam's summary of the family: Transfer RNA (tRNA) molecules are approximately 80 nucleotides in length. Their secondary structure includes four short double-helical elements and three loops (D, anti-codon, and T loops). RNAcentral also lists the same sequence under 6 other names. Lineage: Bacteria; Candidatus Peregrinibacteriota; Candidatus Peribacteria. The record is from RNAcentral.